UGAGGAGGUGAUGGAGUCGGA
RNAcentral lists this non-coding RNA (21 nucleotides) under Rattus norvegicus (Norway rat). The record is from RNAcentral. Lineage: Eukaryota; Metazoa; Chordata; Mammalia; Rodentia; Muridae.